Hemicordylus capensis (graceful crag lizard) is the source of this 663-nucleotide long non-coding RNA. RefSeq lists it as uncharacterized. The transcript has 3 exons. Lineage: Eukaryota; Metazoa; Chordata; Lepidosauria; Squamata; Cordylidae. The record is from RefSeq and is a predicted model, not a curated record.
UGUAGUUUCAGGUCAGGAGACGGCCGCUCUCGCCCUUUUAUGGCAGGGGUGCCCCAACUCGAGGCUCCAAUUGUUGGACUACAGCUCCUACCACCACCACCACCCCCGCCACAAUGGUUUGGGCCACCCUUACAUCAUAAUUUUUUCUUCUAGGCAGCGUUUUAUAAUCCUCUGCAUACUGAUAUAUGAAAACAGAGCACUAAAAAGUCUUUUCUUCCUGGGACGACGAUAGACAGCGAUGGUGCUGGCAAAAGUUGAUAAGUUCGAGGACAAAGAUACAAUCGACUUUUAUUAUCGUUGGCUUUUCUGUUCGUUUGGUUUUGCGCUCCAAUUGCGAGAGCGAAAAGGCAGAGCAGGGAAGGGCUUGAUUGUCCCCGUCCUGCCUUUAUCAUCAACUGCUGCUUGACAGGCAUCCAUUCAGCAGGCUCAUGAAAAUGCUAGUCUUCAGAAACCUCUUAUAAGUUGACAAGGUGCUGAUUAGAGACCACAAUGACAUACAAUAAUGGUUGCCUCGCUGCUCUGUUAUUUUCCUUUUGAAGAAAAUGUAACCACAGUACAGAAAAAAGAGCCACACUCUUUUAAAAAGAGUUUGUUAGCAGUUCUCAGUUCUUUUAUUAGGAAUCCUGAUCUCCAAUUAAAAAGACCAUCUGUUCUAUGUGACAA